This 16734-nucleotide long non-coding RNA is filed under the name Gallus gallus (chicken). Its description in RNAcentral is "lncRNA (ENSGALG00010010802.1)". Lineage: Eukaryota; Metazoa; Chordata; Aves; Galliformes; Phasianidae. The record is from RNAcentral.
CUCUUUUACAAUCUCUUCCAUGUUGGUAAGCACCAGGUCCAGCAACGCUUCACCUCUUGUUGGUCUGUCCAUUACCUAAACCAGAAAGAUAUUGUCAGUGGACUCCAAGAGUCUCCUGGGUCACUUGCAGAUCACAAUGUUGUUUUCUAGCAGAUAUCUGAGUGGUUGAAAUCUCCCAUCCAGAUGAGAACCCGUGAGCACAAUGCCUCUUGCAGCUGAAGCAAGAAGGCCUUGUCAACAGCUCCCCUUGAUCAGGCAGCUUGGAGUAGACCCUGACCACCAGAUGCCCUUUACUGGCCCUGUCCCUAAUCUUAACCCACAAGCUCUUAACCUGUUCCUGACUGUUUCUCAGGGGCAGCUCUCAGCAGAUUAUCCACUUCUUAACAAGAAGAGGGCCACUCCCCCACCUCUCCAAUUUGCCUAUCCCUUCUAAAAAGUUUACAGCCCUCAAUCAUGGUAUUCCUCUUGUGAGUCAUCCCACCGUGUUUCCAUGAUAGCAAUAAGAUUGUAGUUUUCCAAUUGCACCACAGUUUCCAAUUCCUCCUGCUUACUUCCCAUGAUGUGUGCAUUGGUACAGAGGCAUUUCAGCUGAAAGUGCCAAAGGUCACAUCUCUGUUUGCCUUGGACCCUUUAUAGAUACAGAUAUAAAACCAGAUAAAUAUGACUGUUUGGAGCUAAAUGCGUGUGCUGCAAGAGUGUGUUAUUAAUGAGAAAAAAGCCUGAAGGCACAGUGACUCCUAGCUCAUGGCCAGCAGACCAUUGCUGUUGUUCUGGGGAAGCAAAUGGGAAAAGCAGAGCCAGCCAAGGAGCAGACAGCCUACACAGGGAUGGAUUUUGCUCCUGGCCCUUUCUCAGGCAAGGCGAGAGCUUUUCCUGAGUGCAACCCACAAGACUGGAUCCACAGCUCCUCCGCCUGCAGCACUUCAAGACUUCCAGGUUGGAGACAAUGCGUCUGGAAAUUUGGGCUCCAUUAGGUUUUAAAUAGACUGCAGCUGCCUGAGAACUGGUGAUAGUUGCCCGACAUCCAGGUUCACUUAUAAGAGCAAGGAGAGGCAACUCACUGGGUGAUGUGAAUGGACAUAAGCCUGCUGCCAGGCACGUCUCCUGCUGGCUGCAGGGAGAUCCUGGUGUGUGAGGUGUGCCCGCCAGCGGCCGUGGCUUCCCAUGAGCACCUGCAGCUAUGGGCCUCUCUCCCAGGUGAAACCUCCUUGUCUCAGUUGGUGAAGUUGAAGCUGAACCUCAGUAAUAUGUGGCAAGGCUCUUCCUGCUGCAUAACAUUUUAAGCCAGAACUCCAAGGAUUAAUUUUAUAUUCUAGAGACUGCACUUUCUGCAUUUUUCCCUUGGUGUUUGCUUGGCGUCUUGUGAGCUGUACCUCCCAGUUGAACCUCUCAGCUGAAUACUGGCAUCCAGGAAUGCAACUCACCUUCUCUUCUGCUAUUAGCUCAUUUUACAUGCAUAAGCAAGACUUUCUGCAUCGUAUUCAGAGAUGUGAACCCGAAAUCAUCUCUUCUGGGACUACAAGGAAACUAAGGAGGCUAACAGUCACUCUUUGGGAGCAAUGCAAAUACCAAGAGGAAUGGUUCCCACCAGCGCUGGAGCGCUGACACACUCACUUGACAAGCACCUGCCCUGGCCUCAGGUACCUUCCAGCCUCCCACGGGUUUGUUACUGCAAGGGGUGUGCUCACCUAUCCGCUCACCUACCGUCAUCUGGGGUUUAAACUACAGCACCUGACCCAGUAUUUCAGAUGAUAGGGCAGUGACUCACUCAGAGACAUCUUAGCGUGAUGGAAGGAGCUCCUGCCCCAGCACCUGCCCUGCCACACUGCUGGAUCACACUGGUGCUACAGGGCAGCUGGACCUGUGUGGGGCACCUCUGCCACUAGGUCUUAGCCAGUGCCUCUGCACGUAUCACUUCAUCCCCCUAGGAAUUACCCACACUGUGACCAGCAGACCCAAGUAUGCUCUAAACUGUGCUUCUGGGGCAAAAGGAGGAUGGAUAUCCACUUUUUAUACCACUGGCUUGGUGUAAAGGAGCGUGUAGAUGGUGAGACGUGAGCCCCACCUCCUGCAGCUUCUUGAGGUUUUGCUUGCUCUUUGACAGGCACUUCAGACUGGCCUUUGAUCACCAGAGAUCAAGAGUAUUUCCACCCAUACAAGGUAAGUCUGUUGGUUGCACGGACAGCUCAGAGGAAAUGGAGCUCCUGUGAAGACCUGAUUUUGGGCGCAUCAGUUCUUGUACAAGGAUUUCAAGUGUUAGAGGAGUGUCUGGAUUUUAAAUGUCUCGUGUGCAGCACACUGCUCCAAAAAACUCUCUACGUUAGGCUAGUCCUCAGGCUUGAAUAUUCAUGAAGGUAUUUUCCUACAUGAGCAACAUGUCCUAUCUCAUGUCUUAUGCCUGCCUCGAAUUUAAAGUGUGUGAGUGCAGCUAAGCCUCAUGUCAGGUCACCUGCAACUACAGAUAACCGCAGAUAAGUGCUAUGGGUAAUGCUGCUCUGCUGGGAUGAGCUCAGCUCAGAAGUGGUUUCCAGCACUUCUUUCCCUUAAGCAAUGAGCUGAUCUGGGCUGAACGCUAUUGCCAUCCUAAGAUACAGGGAUGAAGGCUGGCCUGCCAGAUGUGCUGGUACCUUUGCAAUGCCCCUAGAGGUAUGGUUGUCCUGGAGCUGCCAUGGCAGUGGGGCUGAGCUUGUGUUGGACACUGCCGAAACUGUGACUGCUGUAACCAGUCUAUGUCUCUGAGGAUGUGAGGGACAGUGAGCAUUAGCCUGUGUCUGUGAGUAGAUCUGCCUCUUAUUCCUGAAACACUGGUGCAGUGCUCUCCCUCUCAAAGCCCCUCUUACAAACCUCUCCAUCACAUUUCUACUCUUUGCAGGCAUUGUCAUCAUUAGCAAGCCUUUGCUGUCCGGGGCUGUGUCUGCACUGAGGACUGUCUUUCAGGGAUGUAUAAGGAAACCUGAGGCUUUCUGAAAGCAUUCUUGCCCUUUCCCAUCCCUGUGAAGUCGGUUAUCAGUUCAGCAAAUUCUUACAUACAGAAAAUGCAUUUGCCUACAGCAGAGGAGGUAAGAAAACACUAAUGGUGAGCAAACUGACCUGAGGGGGAACAUUUCCAGUUCUUCUGUGGUGUUUUCCCUGCUCAUUAAAGCCCCUCCUCGGGCCUAGGGCUGUGUUUGAUGGCAGAUGAUAACAACUCCAGAAGUGUGUCCCAUUGCCCAAAGGCUGCUGCUGUGGGCUCCUCUCUGCACAGCACAGGCAAUAUCCCAGCUUCCAAUAAGGAAGAGGCUACCCUUGUGUUUCAACAUGAUCCAUCUCUGGUGGAGAAACCAGGCUUCCUUCUGCUGAGCUCCCCCUCUGUGGCCUUUUCCGUAGUUUUGCACGAGCUCAAAGGCAUUGCAACAAAAGCAGUGGGGAGAAGUCGCAGUGUGGAUUUGUCAUAUACCAAAACCCACAUUUCUUCUGUAUCUCUCCAGCUUCUCAGGAAACUGGCUGGAAAGAGACCAAGUUGAACAUAAUCUUAUCUUUCAGCCUAGUUAUUUUAAGCCCAAACGGGUUCCUUGAUCCCUUCCAACUGAAAACACCCCUUGGGAUAGUAGCAGCACAUUGAGCAGCCGGCGUGGGCACAGGAGAUCAGUGCUUUUCUGGCUAGAGCCACCUUUGGUGAUGCCAUCUCCCCACACAGAGGACAGAGCGGUUGCUGCUGUGGCGCUGCCUGCAUCGGUUGGACUUUGGUUGCCAGGGCAUCGUAAAAUGACUCAACGGGGAUCAGAAAGUGGUAGGAUCAAACAAAAGUCACUCUGAAGCUGCUGUCGGUUGGCAAAAGAAUAAUUUAAAAUUAAACCAGUUCUGAAACUAUCUACCGCAAGCGGUUACAAGCCUCAGUGUUGUAAAACUGGGCUGUUUCCUCUUUUCCUCGCAACGAUGAUGCCCUUGAUUCCUCCUUAGGCUUCUUUGGCAAUUCUUGCACGGUAAUAAAAAGGCAUGACACAGCAUAUGUUUUGUGGCUCACCUUGCCAAACAAAAUUACAACGUUAGUGUAGCUUCUUCGCCUUUGCAUAAUUAACUCUACAAAGGAGAGAGGGUAAGCAUCUGUGCCAAGACAGAAGCAAAAACAAGAAGUACGGAAGUCUGUUUUAAAGUCAUCUCUGUUCAAAGCAAUUCUUUUAAAAAUGACUUAUCUUGAAACUGUUGCAGACAAUUAGGGAAAGUCAUACAGUUUCUAAAUGUCUGUUAUGUUUUACGUCUGCAGCUACAUUGCUAAGAUGCAAAAAAAAAAGAAGUCGAUGCCUCUUUGAGAGCUCAUGAAAGCUGUGCUGGAGUGCAUCUUCUGCGCAACACGUGCUGGGGCCAGGAGGAUGCAGGCUGCCCAGGAGUGCUCAGUGCCCACUCUUCAGGCUCAGCUGGCAUCAUUCUCAUGUUUAAUAGCUUUCAGGACAGUCUCUGUGUUGCGCUGAACCACACAGUUGCCACAAGGGGAAUUUAGUGCAGGUGGAGGGGUAAGUGGGGUGAGAGGUGGGCCUGGUCCUGCUGCCUAUCCCACUGCCUUACUGUCAUCCUUGUUACCUAAACUAGUGUUAAUAGCUGAAUUAGGAUUCAAGCAGCCUGAGUAGUUCUAAUAUAGAGCAUUAAAGAGCAAAUCCUUUUUCCACUGAUGCCAAAGACAAGACUCCCAGAAAAAGGUCUGGCCCCUAGUUUCUGGCAAGUCCCCAGGCAGUCCAACUAAGUCAAGAAAAAAAGAAUAAGGGGAAAAAAAGAGAAGAGAAGAAGAGAAGAGAAGAGAAGAGAAGAGAAGAGAAGAGAAGAGAAGAGAAGAGAAGAGAAGAGAAGAGAAGAGAAGAGAAGAGAAGAGAAGAGAAGAGAAAAAGGAAGAAAAGGGAGGCGAAAUUAAAAGAAAAAGGGGAAAAUAGAAAAGAAAGAGAUGAGGAACACUUUACAACUAACUAUGGCAGCUGGCAGCAGGUCAUCCAGAUGGAGCAGGGAUCCUGCAUGCCUGCUCAGUCUCCCUUGCUCUUAGGCAGCCUCCAGACGUGAAACCUUGUCACGCUCUGCUACCAUAUCCAGUGCAACGCCCCACUGUGCACAGUGUUGUUCAGUCACAAAGAUGGUCUCUGUCUGCCCAAAGUUCUCACAGAGACCUUUGCACAAUGUCACUGCAGUCAAAACUUGUUUAUUAAAUGCUCACUUAGCAGAAAUGAGGUCAAAUCAUUUAAUGGCUAUUAAGAUGUUAAUGCAUUAAACACUAAAAUAUCACCUGUUUAUCUUAACCCUCAUUUACCUAAAUCACCUUAGCAUUCAUUGUGAUGACUGAGAUUUGACAGUGUUUGCUAAUUAUGUAAGAGUUGAGCUAGCACCAGUUGGUCUUACUGCUGCACCCAAGCACCUUGGUAACAAACAUUAUCAUCCACAGCAAACUGGAGCUAUUCCUAAAUAAUGAUGAUGAGAAAUUCCCAAAUACAGUAGAAAAAAGUCAAUGCCCGAAGAACAGCAAGAGGAGGGCUCUGCCUGGAAGGAAUCAUGACUGAAGCUGUGAAGUGUCAUCCAAAAUCACUGAUCCCUAUUGCUAAGCCAACCUAUGUUGAUAGCACCAUUCUGUGGCUGACCCAUCUGGCACAAAAGAGUCGCACAAAACCCUCCCAUUCAAUGUGGAGGCUUAAUGUCCAAGGUACACUUCAAAACACCUUCAUUCCCGUGCCACCGCCCCGUGGUCCCCACACCCUUGGAGUCUGAGGGAACAUCUCCAUGGCCCAAGCCCUGGUGCAGCAAGCUGGGGUGCCUCCAGGCAUCAGCAUCCCUCUCAGAGUUGGCACCGUUCAUGUCAUGGUGGUGCGUGCUCAGCAGCUGUAGCACUGAGUUCUGCUGCAGGGCUGAGCCCAGCUCUUUCUGCCCAUGGAGAUGAAUGCACGGUUGGCUCCCGAGCUGCAACUAAUAGAUUAAAGCUCCCAAUAAAUCAAGAGUUUUGCAAAAGCGUGAAUGACUGAUUUCACAAGGUGAUUAGAAUUAUCAAGGGAAAACAUUUGAAGUGCUCAAUAAUUUACACUAACCACCUGUACUUUUAAAAUAACUUUCCCCAUUCCCCUCCCUUAACUUUAAGGGAUUCUUGCCAUGUUCUUCAAGCCAUUUCCUUCCUUCCCUUCAGCUCUGAUUGCUGCGGAACACUCUUAAUAAAGAACGUACCGUAUCACUGGAGAUUGUUCUGGGGAUGAAAAAUGCAAUGUGAUUUAUUAUAACAUGGCCUAUGCAGGCAGCUGAUCUUAGCCUGCACUCUGCAUCCUUCCAAAAUCAAAACAAUUUGCAAUGUAAUAUUGUGAAAUUGGGUUUGUAUUCCAGUUUGCAUUUUAUGAUUCUUAUCCUUAAGAAAGCAUUUCCAAAUGCAUUUUCAGUUAGUUAGGUUUUUCCAUGCCUGCUUUUCGCUUUCAACAGUGCUAGCAAAGUCAUGCAUGGUUUGAAAGGUUUUACGCGUAAAUUUGGAACUCGUAUCACACCCUACUGAGCAGUGGGGACUGUUCAUUUAUUUGUUUAUUAAGUAGGAGUUAUUUUCUCUCCAGCAUGCUAUAAAGCCAGCUCUUUGACCUCAUUCCUCAACACGGACAAGAACUGAAUUCCUGGAAUAAAGAAAAAAAAUGGAGAAAAUGCACUCCCAUUUUGACAAAAAUAACUGAAGAGAUCCUUCCAACUCAAAAAAGCCUUCAGGAAAAAAUGUGGGACAUAUCCUUCACAGGUUGUCAACCUUCCAUUGGAAGCAGAAGAUCCAUGACAAUUCAUGCCACAGAGGUUUGCUGCCAGGUGGCGGAGGACAAAGUUCACUCUGGAGUGGUUUGCUAGCAGGGCAGUUGCGCAGUGCGUGGAAGUGCCCAGAUGGGAGGCAGGGAGAAGAUGGAAGGCAGAGAACUGAGGUGUGCAGAGGUGACUGGGAGGACACAUCACAGCCCCAUCUCUGAGAAGGGCCAGGAUGAUAGCUUAGGAAAAUGCAGACACGAAGGGCAGUUGGGCAGUGGUACAGUCCCAGCUAAAUCCCUAGUUGUAAAGAGCCCCGAAGGACUUUUUAUGCAGGAAUUUGCCUAACCACAUUUUAAGUCUGGUUAUACAUUGACAAGAAAAAAUGACCCACGGUGAGGCGUUCACACAGCCUGCUCUUUCACUUUGAUAGCCCCAGGCUUCUGCACCAUGAGAAGCAGUGGGUUAACAUGCCACCUGCACCCUGACUGUGCCACCUGGGACAGAUCUCAGGGCUGCCUGAGUUUAUUUUCCAAUAUUUCAACUAAAGAAAAUACCCACUAGCUGAUCUAUGAUAGAGAAAGUAAAAUAAGUAUCUGUACGUGUGCUCAACACAAAUAACUUACUUGAGAAACCCCUCAUACACCUCUGCUUUAUUGUUUUAUUUUCCAGUGGUGGUUUAUGGUGUUGUGAUGAAGCCAGAGGUUUGACACAAAGAGGUAGUCUUUACCCAGAUACUAAUAUUCAGUAGGUCAUCUUGUGAAAACAUACUGGAAUAGAAAUGAAGAGGGAAGGGGCUAGGAAGGGAAAAAGGAAGGAAAAGCUGGACAGUUCAGGGAGCAAAGAAAAUAGCCACAGUGCCACUAGACAGAGAAAUAGAAUGCAAAUAGUGGGGUGAAGACCCACUUUGUAGAGGGACUCCCAUUCAUGAUUAUAUGGUAGAUAAAAGUUCAGUGAAACAGAAGCACACCAGCUGCAUUCACCUGGAGACUGUUGGCACCAUGUUGUUGACUGCAGCUUCUCUUGCAGAUGCAAACAUGAUCUCUGCUGUUGUGACACAAGCUGGGGUGAGCUGUCCUUCCAGCUCCUUCUGCAAAAGUGCCAAGAGCAUGACAAGUGGGGUCCAACAUACUGGUUUUGGCCAGCUCUCCCCAAAGCCAACAGGAGCCUUGAGUCAGGCCACAGGUAGGCGCAGGGCUUUGAGCAAGCUUAAAAAAAUAAAUAAUUACCCAUCCCUGUCCUCAUGGGGAUGCCUCUCAGAUCUUCCUGCAGCUUUCUUCACAGCUUGUUUGGAGCAUUAUGUAGUCUGACCCAAAUUCCAAGAGCACCAUCAGGACAGUUCUCCAGCUGAUGCCGUGGAUGCUCAGUUAGACUACGACACUACCACAGCAGCUUGUAAAUUUGUUUUUCUUCUUUUCGUAGGAGCUUCCAAUGACUCAAAGAGCAAUCAUUGGAUGAUAUAUCAAACUCCAACUGCUAGAUAAAGAAGAGAAAUCGGAGUGCCUGCAAGGAUACCAGCUAUUGUUGUAUCAUCAUAGCUCUUCUGUAACAUUUUCUUCUCAUGAGGUGAUAUGAAGUGCAUGGAGAGGAGUAAGUUAUAAAGUUGUACUAAUGUGAUUGUUUGGGAUGUUAAAACAAAGUCAACAAUUCCUUUACAAACCAUCCCAGCUUCUGGGCAGAUAUCCCUGGAAGCUUCAGGAGUCCUCUUUGAUCCUGGCUGCCCCAUAAAGAAACAUCGUUUAUACUGAAUUAAUUAGCUGCCACUUAACCCUGGCGCCAAGAGUUGAUGUCAUGAGGCAAAACAAAAUGGAGCUAAUGAAAUCAAUAACAUCAUUAAAAUAACUCACAGCAGAGUUACUGACUGCCGUGCCGACUGUGCUUAUGGACCAAUUGCUCAGCACGUAAAGGGACUUCUGCAAGAACAUGUUCAAGCUAUGAAUGGCAGCCAGCAGCCAACUUGACAUCACUCUGCUCAGGUGAGCUUUUCCAGGACUGCACAGGGAGGUUGCAUGGGCACAGCCUUGGCCUGGAAGUGUCAGAUUGGUUUGGACAGAUGGCAGUAAGGAGUAGAGGGCAAGGUGCUCCCAAAGCAAAUUUCUGAGUGGGAGUUUUAAGCAGGAAGGUACAUUUAGGUAGAGCUUUUCUACUAUUAAUGAAGCUAGAGUAAGACAUUACUAGGAACAAUGCACACCAUGCACAGGAACAAGCUGACCUGGAAAGAUUAAUCUGUCCCUGAAGGCCUGAAGCAUCUUGGUUGGCUGCUGAGAAGCUGAAGCCCUGAUCAACAGUGCUUAAAGAGCAUGGACCACAGUGAGCUCUGGCUCAGUGAGAACUUCUUGAUGCUGUGCUUGCAGGCCUGAGCCCCCAUCAUUGGAAACACACUGUAAUGUCAAUGCUUAAUUGAAUGAAAGAUCUAACUGCAUGCUUCUUACACAGAAUUUCCAAAUGUUUGCAAAGUCUAAGCCCCCUCACUGUGCAAAGAUAUAAUAGAUACCGUCAAAAAGUCUUAAGACAGACAAACAGCAAUGGUAAGUCUUUCACUGUUCAAGUUUUACACAAUGUUUUCACCACUGUUAUCCGGCUCUCCUGUAUUUAAUGACAAGUUCAUAGGCGGGGGCAGGUAAUUGUGAACAUUAAUAUUAAUUUUUCCUGACACAACUAAGUGCUAAAUAUGCAGAAGCAUAUCUAUUUAGCUCUGUGCUGGUGCUCUUUCUGUGCUCUUCCCUGAACUGACUGCUGCUAUCAUCUCUUUAAGUUAGCUCCUUCCUGACUAGAUGCUCUGCAGUAUUUGAUUCUGACUUAUACAGGAAACUUGGGUCUGCAGGCAAAGGUGAAAGGCAGCUGGGGUGAGAGUGACCUUCAAGUGGCAAAUCUGAGGCAGAAAGGACAUUUGAAGAGUUAACAGUGCUGUAAGGAAGUUGUGUGGAAGGCACAAUCACAGAAGAAAUAGUAAAGAACUGCUUGUGAACUGCUUGGUAGCAGGGCAACUUAGCACAAGCCCUACAGGAGGCCCACAAGGUACAAAGUGAUUAAAUCAUGAGCUCUUCAUUAGUUUCAGAUGUGCAGUGGAAGCAGACAGAAAGUCAAACUAGGUCAUGUUACUAAGAGGAGGAAUGAAAUGAAAAAGAUAUAGGUGAUGCAACGAGCAGUGGGCGUGAAGUUUAUGCACUUGAAGUAAAAGGAGGGCCAGAGAAAGACCUGAGUUUCACAAGGAGGAGUUACUCAGUGACGAUACCAAAGACCUAAAUGGUUGUUACUUUCUUCCUUUGGUCUACUCAAAGGUGCCCAAGGAGUCAGAGAGCAAGCAGCUUAAUUUCAAUUCCUGGAAAAUGCUGGAAGUGGAAAUUGGUUAAGCUCUUUUCCAGCACCUAGAUGACAGCAAGCAGAUGAGGAACAGCGAGCACUGAUUUGACAAAAACAAAUCACAUCCAAUCAAUCUAAUUUCCUUCUGUAGUAGGCCUUAGAUCUUGAUUUUAGUAAAGCUUUUGCCAUUGUCUCACCUGACACUUUCAUAAACUAAGUAAAGAAACAUGGUUUAGAAGAAACUGCUAUUAGAGGAGUGUACAGCUGGUUGGAAAACCAGACUAAAAGCAGUUAUAAAUGCUUCACUGUCAAACUGGCGGUACGUAUCAAAUGAAGUCUGAAGCCAUCUGUUUUGUGUCUGGCAGUGUACGGUAUUUUCAUUAAUAUCUUUGAAGAAAUGAGAGUAGGGAACACUUAUUAAAUUAGCACAGGACACCAUGGAGAACAAGCGCUUUGGAGAAACAGGAUGAGAAUGCAAAACAAUCUUGACAAAUUGGAGGAAUGCUGGGGAAAACAAACGCCAUUGAGCAGGGACAAAGCAGAGCUCUGCAGUUGCGUAGGCGUCAUCAAGUACUAAAAGACGGCUGGGAAACAACCGGCACAGCAGCAGUUCUGCAGAAGAUCUAGGGAUGACAGCUCAACAUGAAUGAGCACGGUCAUGCUGCAGUAAAAAAUGAAAGUGCUGUAAUGAGGUGUACAAACAGAAGUUCAAUCUGCAAGAAACAGGAAAUAAUUCUUUCCCGCUUGUCUAUGCUGUGAAGACUUCAUUUGAACUGUGCAGGUUCGGCCACUGCAGUUCAGGACAGUUUCAGGACUGGAUAAGCUUGAGGAUUCAACUCAGCCUGCAGCCGAACACCUCAAACAUGGGAGGCCAUUCCACACUGAGGACAACUGAACCAAACAGAGUAAUCGUAUCUUUAGUUAAUGAAACAGCUUCGGUUAGAAAAAGAGGGUGAUAGGAAGGCAUAAAACCAGCAUGAAUUGAUUCAGCUUAAUAAAAUGAGCUGGUUUUAUUAUUUGCUUGCAGCCUACUUCGUAUUAUUCCCCUGGCAGAAGUGACAUCUCAUCACAAGCUUUUGGGAAUCUGUUGUUAAGGGUUUCCUCUUGCAGCUUACAGAGCAAUACCAUAGCUAUGCAAAAUUUCUACAAACUCACACUUUCUCCUCUCUUACCUUGAUGGUAACCUCCUCUCUAAUCUCCUGGUCUGUCAAAUGCUUCCUGUUGGCUGCUGUAGACAUCCUUGCUUGUGCCUCGAUGCAUCUUUUAGCUGUGACAGCCACAACACAACUCCCUGCCUUCCCUCAGGUGCCUAGAAAUGCAGCUCUGUCAUCUUCCUGUUCACGUUUAGCCUGCCCCCUGAAGUCCUCCAGGCUUUUAUUAUCAUGCAGGUUUGUGUUCCUCUCUACUCAUUAACCUCUUUUCCUCUAGCCUUGUCUCUUCUCUUUGCCACAUUAGACUUCUGCACUUCAUCACAUCAAGUCUGCAGCAGAUGUUUCCCUGGCUGCCCACAGACCUCGCACUCAGUGCAAGAAAGGGAAACUCCAUCUCAGUUGAAGUGAAACACAAAGAGGGAACUCUGGUAGUCCUCAGCAAUCCCAUCUGAAUCCUAUCUCAAGUCCAGAGGUAUUUCCUUUCUCUUUUCAUGAGAUUCAUUCACUUCUCCUUUCUCAUGACCCAGUCUCCUACUUGUACAGCAGAACUGAUGGCUCAGAUGGUGCCUUCUGACCUUAAAUGCCUGAAGGUUAACUAAGAAUGGGGGCUCGUGGCACAAGUAAGAGCACAGCAUGUUUUUAAAGAAACGCCUUGGAUAUGUUCAUACACUGCCAUAAAACGUAGCAGCUUGGCUUUGUUCAUUUGUUUUACCACUUGUUGUCUUCUUGCUAACUCUGUACUUCUCUGAAGUGAAGUUCAUCAGUGCACUGACACAGCGACGUAGUUAUGUAUGCCAGGCACAUAAAACACUGCCUAGCCGUAUUUUUGUUAGAAGAGAUGUCACACGUGUACCACAUGUUAGUGUGGCUGACUGUGUCUCCCUGGAGCUGGGUUUCCUCACAUCAGCAGGGAACUGGGCUGGUAGUGGGCCUGGACCAGUAGAUAUGCAGGGACAUGGACGAGGAGCAUUUUGUAAGGUUGAUCUCCCAGGGGGGAUUAUAAUCCAAUUCAUUAUACAGCAACUGGGAGUCCCCUGUGCAUCUCUAUGUCUGUAGAGGUGGAUGUAGAUGCAAGUUGCAGCUUGGAGCAGAAGCACGUGAAGGUGAGGGUAGAUCUCAUCAGUGUGUGGGGAUGAUACUUGUCUCUAACUGCACACAAAGGACAUUUCAUCUUUCCUCCCAGCUCAUCCACUUCCCCUCCCAUAAAGGACAUAAAAAGAAACCAAACAAGAAGAGCAGCCAGUAGAAACUAUCACAUGUUUGGGGAAAGCUCGCAGGACAAAUAUUUCAAACCAGAACUGCCUGAGAUGACCUUACAAGCAAAAUAGACAACACCUACGUAUUGCGAUGGAAAUGACAAAGCAGGGAAAUUGUUGCAAACGCAGCACAAAUGGACACUAGCUGCAGAUUACACAGAUUAGCAGAGCAUUACAAAUUGUACAAAGGAAACGCUCAAUUUUUCUUUUCAGUAUUAAUAAAAGACACCUGAAAUCAGCAGUACCAAUGAUUCCCUUUGUGAAUCUCAGGCAAUAUGUUGGACAGCCACAUGUUUCUCGCUGGCAUCAAGCAGCCUUGCUUUUACUGCAAGAGAAGUAAGAAAUUCCACCAACGUCAGGGGCACCACGCAGCCGUCUCUCUGUACUCAUUCCUGAAAUGAUCUGAAAUCUAACAGAAGGCAUUUUAUUGACAGCUAUCGUGCCUAUUAGCUUUCAUAUGUUUUCAGGACUUCUCAGAAGGAGCUGGUUCAGGACCUCUUCCAGAGGGACCUGUUCAUCAGCCCACCCCAAGUGACCAUUGGAGGCUGUGCAGUGAUGCUCACUUCCAGGGCUGUAGUCCCCUGGGCAUGAGGCUACCUAUGGCCUAGAGCUUGGGCAGGAAAGCCAGGACAGGCAACCAGGAGGCAGCUCAUAGGCUGGCAGCCUCCACAGCUGCUUGUGCUGCUUGGGGCCUCGUGACUGUCUGUGUGCCAUCCUCAAGCGAGAGUCUGGAGAGUGGGGCGAUGCACCCUGUGGUAAUUUCUGCAGUGUUGCAGGCCAGGAAGCACCAGCAGAAGAGAUGUUAUGACAGUGCAAACAGUUACCUCCGCUGCAGGCAUGAUAGGAAGUGACAAUGCAAACAGAAAUGUAACCUGUCAAGGCCACAGCUACAUGCUUGGGUAGACGAGCUUGUCGUUUAACCAAGAGCAGUGCCACAGCUCCCUGCUUCCCAGUGCUUGAAGGCAUCUGCACACAAGAAAGCCACCCCAAAGCUCCGACCUUUCCAUAUGAGUAAGGCUAAAGGACAAUGCUUCUGCUUCCUGGCAUCAGUCUGUGUGUGUGCGUGUCAGCACUAAUUACAGCCAGCAGGAUGGUGAUUUUCAGAUGUAAAAGCUUUCAAUGCCAGCACGGGCCUUGCAGUGCUGCAGUGGAAAAUAUUAAGAGAGGAUUACCAGAAGGCCCAGAAGAAAUAAUAUCACAGCGAAAGGAAAUUAUACUGAGGAGCACAAUGUUUGACUUACAACUGUUGUGGUCUGAAACAUAAAUCCACACGGUACCGAGUGUCUGGAAAACUGAACACCAACUGUAAUGAAAGUAAUCAUUUUGCUAAAGUAUUCUUUACAAAGGGCAACACUUAAAGACAUGUGUUGAUUAAGGUAAAAAUCUAUGGAUGCUGGCCCAGCUCUGGAAGGGCUUCUAAGAUGAGUGCUAGCUCUGUGCACACGAAUGUGGUGUUUGAGGUGGCAAGCCCUGCCAGGGUGAAAUCCCAUGUACCUCUGCCUUUGGAGAGAAGAGGAAAAUGUGCCUUGCUUCUGCUGUGAGACUGACGGAUAAGGAAGUGCUAAGCUUCAUCCUCCCUUCUGCAUGCUGCUGGGGCAUGCAGAUGACAGCAGAACCAGCCAGAAGGUGCAAAUAUCUGAAGCAGAAGGCGGUGGAUUAGAGAUGGUUUUGGAGGCCACUGGGGAGACAAGAAGUGGAAAAUGAAGAAAACAGAAACCAAGUCUGAAGAAAUAACAAAUUCCAGAAAAUGAGAGAAAAAAUCAGGGGAUGAAAAGAAGAUGGAGGAAGGAAGGAAAGAGAUAUCUAGAAAAAGAAGCAUGGAAAGGGUCAAGUCGGAAGCAGCUGAAAGCAGAAACUUCAAAGAAAAAGGCAAUUUAUAUUCAGACUCUUUGGAAACCCUUGUUAUCUAUGACCAACAGGGUCCUGGUACUUACUAGGUAUAGACAUAAAAGGGUUGUAGAAGAGUAAGACAAUGGUUUAAACAUGUACAAGCCAGAGGAAAGGAAAACUCAGCUCCUGAAAGGAAGGGAAAAGAAAGCAAGGGAGGGUCAUUUUAAAAUUGGCUGAAUUAUCUUUUAAUGUUUGGUAAAGCUACACUCUACAGAUGCUAGAAAUUUAAGAGGCACAAAAACUGGGAUUAGUAUAAAAUCCUGUGGACAUGGAGAGCAUUUUGAAGGCAGGAGAUAUAGCUUGUGAGACAGGCACCCCAUGUCCCAGGUGGUGACUGCAACCACCUCUUCUGAAGCCAGGCCUGCUCAAGUAUGGCCAGCAGAGCACCCACGAGGAGCAUGCAUCUGGCAGGCGGCCAUAAAAAACAGAGGACAUCCUACCAGGGCUGACCAGUACUCAUACAGAAUCAAAGCUGGGAUCUAGCCCCUGCCAAUGCCAAGUCUGAACAGGCCAGCUGUGGCCUGGCAAUAGCAGGGCUGCUCCAACCAUGGCAGUCUGUGAACAGAAGUCUGCCACAGACAUGAGAACCAAGCACCUUGUCCCAUCAUUACAAGGGCAGCAUCCCCAGGUGGCCAGGGAUGGUGGAGGAGGACCUUUGAGCUGGGGUGACACUGAGCUCUUUUGUACUGCAUUCACCCCAUCAGCACUGUGAGAGCAGCUGGUGUGGUUGGGUCCACUUGAAGGCAACCUCCAAAUCAAAUGGAGGCAUAAAGACAACACUGAUGACCAUGAAGUCAAACACCAGACCAAAAUACUCGAGUGGUUCAAAUGCACUGAAGCCAUACAAUGGCUGAGCGAUUGAAAUAGAAAAGGAGUAUGUAUGAGUGUGACCAAAGAAGGUAAAAAAAUUAUUUUGAGUGCUGUUUGUUGCAGACAGAGGAAACUCUCUCUGUUAGGCAACUGAGCUAGUUAACAACACAUACAACAUUACAUGUACACUAGGAAGGAGUGUGGUCUGGGCAUUGCCACUGUUUAAGAAAGAGCCCUCUCAUGUAUUUCCCAGGAGCCUGAACGGUUACUUCAUGUGUGAGAACGUCAGGCUGUGACCUGCAGGAAAAGAGAGGGCAUGAGGGAGCCAGAUGGCUGAGUGACCCCAGUGCUGUUCCCAGAAGAAGCAGGAGCAGGCAAGGAAAAAUCUGGUGGCUGGAAGGAAAAGUGAGCCCUAGGCAGGUCCCUCCAUGCUCUGGGUCUCUACUGUUCCCUCUCCCACCAGCCCCCUUUUCUCCUCUGAGCCAGCUUCUCAUCAUACCAGACUGCCCAACUCCCACUCCCCCACCAUCUCAUCCACCACAGCUGCAAUUUUCCAACUCCGGUAAGAAACAGAAGUAUCAGCAUAGCAUAUGCAUGUGCUUGCUGAGGGACGGGAGCAGAAACCUUCCCACCUCUUAGUAGUGUCUCCAGCUGCUGCCUUGCUCUGCCUUCCCAAUCUGCCACAUUCUUUAUGUCCCACGUGGCUGCUUUGGCACAGCUCAAGUGAGUGUGGGGAGCAGCAGUGGCCUGUGGUGGCCAUGGUGACUCAUACUGGCUCUCCAGCCAAGACAGACAGGGGAUACCCCAUAAGCAGAUGCUGGUGACCCCAGCAUGUGAGUGCUACUCUGGCCACCACCACUGCCAUGAAGCCUCUAUGUCUGUCUUACACACAGGUACUGUACAUGACUGAUGUAAUGCACAGGGUCUCAUGCAGUGAUGAGUUUUCCCACACAGGCACUCCCCUCCAUCUCUCUACUGAGCAGGAGGCCAGUUUCUAAUGUCUGCCCUUCACUUCAAAUCCUUGGUUUAUGAAACUGGAGGAAAACCCUGAGACAGCAGGUUGAGACUGACACCAGGGAGAGAGUUAACUCAUUUCCACGGCUGGUAAUUCUCCCCACCAGCCCACGCAGCAUCAGAGCAGCUCCGUAAGCCUCAGCAUAGACUCUUGGCCUGUUCUACAGGUGGUGGAAACUUGUAGUAUAUGGUGUAAAAUGCCUACAGGAAGGUGUUUGUGACAGGGCCAAUGGCUAGUGCAUAUACCUGCCCCAAGGCAGGUUCUGUUGUUGUUCCACCACUGCAGAAAUGAUGUAACACUGGUUUUAUUACAGUGCUGGAAUCCGGCAGUGUUUUGCACCUGGAAGGCUGCAUCUGACACCCACCUGUGAGGCAUCAGUCCAUGAAGACUGGGGCUCUGCUUUGGUUUUGCGGUCACUGCUGCUAAUGCGAGAAAACGGACAGGGCAAAAAACAGGAGAUAAAAGGCAGUCAAAGCACUGCUGAAAAAAUACCAGAUAGUUGUAACUCUUAGGACUAACCUUCGGUGUCAGAGGAGUCAAUGCCUCUAUUUUGAAAGGAUGAGCCAUUUUGCGGGUAUAACAGCAAUGCACUUCAUAAUCC